GUAUGGGUUCUUGAAAUCUCAGGUGGGUCUUUUGUUUCUUGCAAUUUCUUGUUUCUUUGAUUUUGAUCUAUAUUCGACUUGAGUCAACUGGGUCACGGUGUGCUAGGUGAAUUUUUAGUUAUAUCGCUUGAAUUAUCGCUGACGUUGCUUCUUUUUAUUCGUAUCUUUAACUCUGUUUGAGUAUAUAUGAAUGGAUGUAUUUGUGUGGGUAUGCUAAAUCUUUGUUAAGAUGCUGAAUUUUGCUUCUUGUGUUUGUUGAUUUCGAAUUUGUUUCAGGUUUUACUGUUUUGAAGUUG
RNAcentral lists this unclassified non-coding RNA (296 nucleotides) under Hevea brasiliensis (rubber tree). The record is from RNAcentral. Lineage: Eukaryota; Viridiplantae; Streptophyta; Magnoliopsida; Malpighiales; Euphorbiaceae.